UUGAACGCUGGCGGCAUGCUUUACACAUGCAAGUCGAACGGCAGCGCGGGCUUCGGCCUGGCGGCGAGUGGCGAACGGGUGAGUAAUGCAUCGGAACGUGCCCAGUAGUGGGGGAUAGCCCGGCGAAAGCCGGAUUAAUACCGCAUACGACCUGAGGGUGAAAGCGGGGGACCGAAAGGCCUCGCGCUAUUGGAGCGGCCGAUGUCGGAUUAGCUAGUUGGUGGGGUAAAGGCUUACCAAGGCGACGAUCCGUAGCUGGUCUGAGAGGACGACCAGCCACACUGGAACUGAGACACGGCCCAGACUCCUACGGGAGGCAGCAGUGGGGAAUUUUGGACAAUGGGGGCAACCCUGAUCCAGCCAUGCCGCGUGCGGGAAGAAGGCCUUCGGGUUGUAAACCGCUUUUGCUCGGGAAGAAAUCCUCUGGGCUAAUACCCCGGGGGGAUGACGGUACCGGAAGAAUAAGCACCGGCUAACUACGUG
This 483-nucleotide ribosomal RNA is filed under the name uncultured bacterium. RNAcentral's name for it is "partial 16S ribosomal RNA". It matches the Rfam family "Bacterial small subunit ribosomal RNA", at positions 29 to 507 of the family's 1533-position model. The record is from RNAcentral.